RNAcentral lists this ribosomal RNA (497 nucleotides) under uncultured bacterium. Its description in RNAcentral is "partial 16S ribosomal RNA". It matches the Rfam family "Bacterial small subunit ribosomal RNA", at positions 28 to 507 of the family's 1533-position model. The record is from RNAcentral.
GAUGAACGCUGGCGGCGUGCCUAAUACAUGCAAGUCGAGCGAACAGACGAGGAGCUUGCUCCUCUGACGUUAGCGGCGGACGGGUGAGUAACACGUGGAUAAUCUACCUAUAAUACUGGGAUAACUUCGGGAAACCGGAGCUAAUACCGGAGAAUAUAUUGAACCGCAUGGUUCAAUAGUGAAAGACGGCGUUGCUGUCACUUAUAGAUGCAUCCGGGCCGCAUUAGCUAGUUGGUAAGGUAACGGCUUACCAAGGCGACGAUGCGUAGCCGAACUGAGAGGGGGGUCGGCCGCACUGGAGCUGAGACAGGGUCCAGACUCCUACGGGAGGCAGCAGUAGGGAAUGGGCGGCAGUGGGCGGAAGCCUGACGGAGCAGGGCCGCGUGAGUGAUGAAGGUCUUGGGAUCGUAAAGCUCUGUUAUUGGGGGAGAACAAAUGUGUACGUAGCUAUGGACGUCUUGACGGUACCGGGUAAGGAAGCCACGGCUAACUACGUG